Neofelis nebulosa (Clouded leopard) is the source of this 1104-nucleotide long non-coding RNA. RefSeq lists it as uncharacterized. The record is from RefSeq and is a predicted model, not a curated record. Lineage: Eukaryota; Metazoa; Chordata; Mammalia; Carnivora; Felidae. The transcript has 3 exons.
CAGAGUUUAGAGCAGGGGGAAUCUUGGCACAGUGGUGAGCCAGGGAAGAAAAUAAGAAACUUAAGAUAGGGGGCCCAGAUGAUGGUUUAAAUUAUAAAUCGAUGUUGGGUAAGAACAGGCAGAUGUUGUAGAUUAAAGCUGGCUUGUUAACAUCGUCACAGCCGUGAAAACAAGCUGGGCUGAUCUGAUCAUAAAAAAACCCUGACCCUCCUAGAAAAUCAGGGCCCAGGCAUUGUCUUUCAGGACGUUUCUGUGUGUCUGGUCGGAUGUUAGCAUUUUCCAGUCAAGAACUUGAAGUUCGGAGGAGUGGGUGGGGCACAGGCGAUCUCUUUGGUGGCUGGUUCCUAUGAAAACAAUAAAUAGCUUCCAGAGAGAGGGGAGGGCAUCUGUUCUCACGGGGCUCACUCCACCCACCAACAACACAAAGGGAGGGUGGCCGAAGAAGCAGACAGCUGGCGCCCGGCCAACCUAAUCCUUUCCAGCCUCACGAAGGAGUGUGGUCUGGAGGACAUUUUAAAAGGAGAGAAGGAUGUUAAGAAGUGUUGAUGAACAGAAGAAUCCCACUGUUGAGAGAGAAUCGGCACAGAUUUUGUGCACAGUGGGAAGCAUGCCAAGGGAUUCUGUUCCCAGCUCUGACUCUAACUGGCUGUGUGACCUUGGGUAUCCUGUUGAAGCCUAACUGUCUAAUCUAACAGAGCCAGUAGUAAGUGGUGGAGACAGGAGUUGAACAAAGGAAUAUGACUCCUGAAUGCAUGCUCUUAACCAACUAUUAAAGAACAAAACUUCAGGCAGCCUUUAUAGGCAGAAAUGGGAUGGGACAAGGAAGUUAUUAGCAAAAGAAAAGAAUUGUUUUAGACUAGGUCACUUUCCUUUAGGGGGAAUGGCAGAAGGUCUUAUCAUACAGAUGACCUUUCUAGUGCCUAUCAGAAAAUUCCAGAUUCACUGGUUUAAAAUUCCACUCCGGAGAAGAGGCUAAAACUGCAGUUAGGUUAGGUAUUAAGUCUUGGUGGGACCUAACAUAAGUGACUCCAUUUUGAGCCUAUUGUUUCUUUUUAACAUUUACCCCCUUUUGAUUGAACUCAGCCUGAGAGACGUGGUAAAGAU